GUUCCAAGGCUGGGGUUGAAUCAGAGCUGCAACACCAGAUCCUUAACCCACUGAGCGAAGCCGGGGAUCAAACCCACAUCCUCAUGGAUCCCAGUCAGGUUCGUUAACUGCUGAGCUACAAAGGGAAGUCCAGGAAAUUUUUUAUUCAAUGUCUAAUGGAAUAUUUUUCUACGAUGCAUAGUUGGCUAACUCCCAAAUGUGUCUUCAAAACACAAAUACUUUUCCCCAGUUCCUCCUAAAAAAUCAAAAUGACAUUUUUCUAUCUUUUCAACACCAUAUUGCUGAUAGGGCUUGCUUUUCUAAUAUUUCUUCUGUCUAGACAAAGCAAAGAGAAAGGCCUUCCUUUAGCCAUCUUCCCCAAAAUAAUUCAACCAGGAAGACACAACAGCAGAAAGAAUCUCAAAUGUCAUUUUGCCUUUUUUGUUUAAACUUUACCUCUGAGUAUAUAGAACCACAAAACAUUUAUAUCAUCAAAUUUUCCAUCACAGUGUGACCUUUUGGUGAAUCAAAGAAAAAUAAGGUAUUGCAUUUUAUUUUUUUUAUUGUUUCAGAAAACAAAGGAGUUAUUAACCAUAACAUGACACCAAAUAAUACAUGGAAAAGUUUAAAAGUAAACACUUCAAGUAGGUUUAUAAACAAAAACGAGAGUUUUUUUCAGGUUACCAAUAAUAAAACAUGCUUCAUCUUCCUCAUAUAUCCUUUAAUUUAUAGGUCAGAGCUGUCCUUCCCUUUUCACUCUGGAUAAUAAGUAAACUCCUUUUCCAUGACUUAUAUAAAGCCUGAUGCUCUUCCCAAGGUCUCUGCAAAUCAUUAGAGGCUCAUCUGCUCAGACACAUAUUUUAGCUUCUGCUUCUAUCAAAGCAGAUCAGUUUAUGGAUUAUCACAGCAUUCUUUAGAGCAGGGCCAACAUGCAGAAAUCAGUCCUUUUCCAUGAUUCACACAAAAUAAAAAUUAGUGUUUAGUAAACUUCAUCGAAGUUUUAAGGAAAAAAUAUAAUUACAGAAUACAACCUUAAAUGUAUUCAUUAAAAUGUUUUAUUCUUAAAAGUCAUUUGAGCCGUUCCACCAUGUUACCCCUUUCUGUCCCUUCUUUCUUUCCUCAAUUUUUUCCCUUUCUGUGCUUUCUGUCAAACUGCAGAGAGAGCAGUUUAGCUUUUUCUUCUGUGCUUCAUUUCCUGCUCACUCAUACUCACCCAGUUGCAUUCAGUCACCCAGAUCAUGUAUUAAGAUUUUUUUUGUCUUUGUUUUUGUGGUUGUCUUUUUAAAGCCUCACACAUGGCAUAUGGAAGUUCCCAGGCUAGGGAAUUACAGCUACUGGCCUACACCAAGGCCACAGCAACAUGGGAUCUAAGCCACGUCUGUGAUCUACACCACAAGGUUCAUGGCAACCGGGGAUCAUUAACCCACCUGAGCAAGGCCAGGGAUCGAACACGCACCCUCAUGGAUACCAGUGGGGUUCAUUACUGCUGAGGCACAAUGGGAACUCCAAUUUAUCAAGAUAUUUUCUUAAUUCCUUCUCCAAGAGAAACUCUAAAGUCACAAGCUAACAUAAUUUUUUCCCUCUCAUUUUGAUGUAUUCUUUAUCUUUGUUCCCUAUUAUAAAAGUUCAUACUCUUAAUCAGGGUUUGCCCAAGUUUGCUUUUAGAAGAGGAAUCUUUUUUCAAAUGAAAUCUAACAUAUGACACAUAUAUAGAAUACAUAUGCAAAGAAUCUUAAGAUGACUAAACCCUAAUAGAGCUGCUCUUUGCAGGGGAGGCUGGGAGUAGACUUGAGACUCUUUCCUUUGGCCUCAUCUUGACCUCUCUGCUCUAAUCUCAGACACAUUUCACUGGAAGACAAGGUCUAUAUAUAUAGCCAAGUGUGAAAAAUACUGGACUUCAUGAGGAAUAACAAUAAACUGCAGAAUUUGGUAACUGAUUAUAUAGAAGCAAUAAGAGAAAAAUGAGUCAAAGUUGAUCAGAGGAUUCUGAGCAUGUUAUGUUGAAAAAUUAUAAUACCUUUACUAGAAAUAACUUGAGGGAAGCAUAUAUACUUUUAGUGUCAUAAUUUGCAAAAAUAUGAAGAUUCUUUUCAUAAUGCAAUUUGAUGAAAUGAGCGUAAAGAUGGCAACUUAAGAAAUAACAUUUCUAAAUGAAUUUAUUGUAAAACUUAAGCAUUUUCACAUGAAUAAUUAAUGUCCAUAUUCAUCAAUACUUUCUGCUAUUAUAAUUACACAUAUUUGAAAGUUAAGUUGAUAAAUAAUAAGCUAAAUUAAAUUACAGCAUUUAAGUCUAAAGAAGCUACUUAUAUUUUUCUAUAAAAUAGCUUUCAUUUAUUAUACUGUGCCAAAGGAAUUAUUAGAUCCUUUUCUAUCUUUCUAUAGAUAUAUAUACCUUACAGCUCAUCUUUCCAGGAAGGGAAAUUUGUAUAAAAAUGGAAAGCAAUUAACUUAUAAGAGGAAGAGGACAGGACUAAUUUAUAAUGCCUACCAUAAACAAGGCACUGUUCUCACGAUUUUAUAUCAGCACUUUUCAUUCUGAUUACACAAGAAAAUCUCCCAGGGAUAUUUUUUAAAAACUUUAUGCAUAAGUGCUGCCCCAGAGAUUCUGAUUUAAUUGAUCAGAAGUGGGGCUUUGACUUAAGAAUUUUUUAAGGCUCUCCAGGUAGUUAUAAUGUGCAACUAGGAUUGUAAAGAAGUUUUGCAUACUUUAGUUCAUAUUUUCAUCAAAACAAUCUGACCAGUUAAGUUUAUUAUCCCUUAUUUAAGAGUAGAAAAUUAAAUUUCAGAAAGGUUGAAUAUUUUUCCUUAGGGCGUAAGAAAGUAAAUAUUAGAGUUGGAAUUUAAACCCAAGACUCUCUGACUACAAUGAUGCUUUUAACCCUCACUUUGUCAAAUUCAAAACACCAGAAUUAUUAUUAUGAAUUAAUAGCAGAUAUUUAUAUUUUGUCUUAAUUCUGGCUUUAAAAGAAGGUAGAAUAAAGCCUCUUUUGCCUUUCAUUUUCUAGCAAGACACCAUUUUCUAUUCUUUUCUUUAUGAAAUAUAGUU
RNAcentral lists this long non-coding RNA (3025 nucleotides) under Sus scrofa (pig). Its description in RNAcentral is "lncRNA (ENSSSCG00055007812.1)". Lineage: Eukaryota; Metazoa; Chordata; Mammalia; Artiodactyla; Suidae. The record is from RNAcentral.